This 449-nucleotide ribosomal RNA is filed under the name uncultured bacterium. RNAcentral describes it as "partial 16S ribosomal RNA". It matches the Rfam family "Bacterial small subunit ribosomal RNA", at positions 29 to 523 of the family's 1533-position model. The record is from RNAcentral.
AGCGAACGCCGGCGGCAGGCCUAACACAUGCAAGUCGAACGGAUCCUUCGGGAUUAGUGGCGGACGGGUGAGUAACACGUGGGAACGUGCCCUUUGGUUCGGAACUACUCAGGGAAACUUGAGCUAAUACCGGAUGUGCCCUUCGGGGGAAAGAUUUAUCGCCAUUGGAGCGGCCCGCGUCUGAUUAGCUAGUUGGUGAGGUAAAGGCUCACCAAGGCGACGAUCAGUAGCUGGUCUGAGAGGAUGAUCAGCCACAUUGGGACUGAGACACGGCCCAAACUCCUACGGGAGGCAGCAGAGGGGAAUCUUGCGCAAUGGGCGAAAGCCUGACGCGGCCAUGCCGCGUGAAUGAUGAAGGUCUUAGGAUUGUAAAAUUCUUUCACCGGGGACGAUAAUGACGGUACCCGGAGAAGAAGCCCCGGCUAACUUCGUGCCAGCAGCCGCCGUAA